RNA transcript from Mugil cephalus (flathead mullet), 4113 nucleotides. RefSeq lists it as uncharacterized. The transcript has 6 exons. The record is from RefSeq and is a predicted model, not a curated record. NCBI's taxonomy places the organism in Eukaryota, Metazoa, Chordata, Actinopteri, Mugiliformes, Mugilidae.
UGCACGCUCCAGUAUAAAGCCCCUACGUCAUCACGCAAUCUGUUCCUUCUAUCUUCUCAUAAUUGAGGAAAAAUCUGAGGGCAGGUCAGUUUGGCUCGCCGCUGGUAGUCUCGUAACCUGAGGGUUGGUGCUUCGGCUAUUCGUCCACCAGGGACUGUGGCAAGCCUUUUACUCUUUCAAGUGUUGUCUGUUUCUUUUGGGAGGACAGCAGUGAUCUCGGCGUUACGAUUCUUAACGCACAGACAGUACCUCGUAAUACGCUAAUUUGCUUAGGUCGCCGUGGCAUUCCUCUGAAUUACUGCAGACAGUGAGUACGCUAAAUUGCUUUGGUUGUUAGCCCAUGUUUAGGGCCGGCGGCUCGCUGCGCUUGUAUUUGUUUUGACCAGCGGUGUUUUCGCCCUGGCAUUCGUAUUGAAUUACGGCAAACAUUAAGUACGCUAAGUUGCUUUAGUUGUUUUUGUUUUGAACGGCGGUGUUCGCCGCAUGUUAUAUUACACGCUACGUUGCUUGACUCUCCUAUUUCGCUGGGUUGUAGCAGCAGUAAGCACGCCAUUAGUUAGAAAUCUUUCUUUAAUGUGUUUUUGAGGCACGCUCCGGUGCAGACAUUGUGACGGAGGAUCUUUUCCUCUCCUUCAGCCCAGGAUCUUUAUACCGGUUGGAAAGGGUAGUUCACCUACGCACAAAUCACGCGACAAUUUCUCCCGUUUUUGGAUAUUUAUUUGGUACACAGAGAAUAGAUAUUGAUUCAGCGCUGAGCCUUCGGUCAGUCCACCUUGGAGGUAAAAAGAACCAAAAGCCCCACUUCAGGGACGUACAGUGAUCUUAUUCUACCUAGACCCCGCCCGUAAGACAAUGGGGAGGAGUACUGCCUCUCAUGUUCUGUGAGCAGCUGUGCGAAGUGAAAGACAACGAUUGAUAUGGUGAGAUAGCGUAAGUAACAUUCUACUUGAUUCUUCCAAAGUUGAUACAUAGGCUGAAGGCCUUAUUAACCCAUUUAAACCCAACCACAUGUUGAACCUUAUUUUUGUGUAGGGCUGCAGCAGAGUGGUUUGACUGUGACUAUCCCUAUUAUUUUUUUGUGCCUUUUCUGGAAACUGUCCCACUUAACGGCAUGUUGAGCUUGCAUGUCUGUAACUCCUGUAUGGCCCGCCUCCAACCUGAGGAUGGCCAUGAUCAGUGUCCGGACUGAAAGUGGUCUCUCUGCAAGACAUCUGUGCUGCAGCAACCUGGGAAUCCUCCUGUACUUUUGCUUGCCAUGGCUGCUCUACCUGCUGUGGCAACGGCUGUUCUGUCAACAGCUUCCACGCCUUAAUGUGGAAUCUCUUUCUAGAGCAAGCAAGUCGCCAUUUGCCAUGUACAUAUGAGCAUCCGUCUUCUAUCCCUCCGAAUGAUGGUAGCAGAUGGAAGAGCGUACAAUGUAGAUGUCUGUAAGCCUGUCCUGUCAGCCACUGCAUCACUUGAGGAACCGACAGAGGUGCCCCAUCGCCUUCUUCAUCAGGGACCAGGAAGCAAGAGCUUGAAGAAGCACUUGUUGACUUCAUCGUGGUGUCUGAUCCUGGGUUCUGGGCAUUUGGUGGCUAAACUGGAUCCUACAUACAUUCUCCCCUCUAGGCAGGCUGUUAAAGCCAUGGUGGAGCAGCAUUAUGUGGAAGAAAAGGAGAAGGCCGAAGCAGCAUUGCUGCACGCUGACAGUGUCCGCCUCACAGCUGAUAUGUGGACCUCCAUGAACAUGGAUAUCUUGCUGUGACAUGCCGCUAUGUCAGUGAGAAUACACUCUCCACCACCCUUCUGGGGGUACACCCUUAUCCAAAGGCUCACACAGCAGAGAAUAUUGCUGGAAUUAGUCGGGAGCUAAUGGAGGAAUGGGCAAUGAAAGAUAAGGUGAGAUGCCUUGUGACUGACACGGCACUGAAUAUGACUUCGACAGGUACACUUCGACAGGAAUUGACCUUUUGAAGUUUCUGGAUAAAGAUGCAGCAGAAGCUAGACAGACAAGAAAUGCAACUGCUGAUGCCAUUGUGGAGGUUCAGAGAUACAUCUCUGAACCUCCACAAUGGAAUCCCACAAUCCCAAGACUCAAUGGAGUUCUGGACAACACAGAAAUCCCUGUACCCAAACCUUUUCUGCUUGGCCAAACAGUUCCUGGCGACACCAGCGUCUUCAGUUCCCUGUGAGAGGGUCUUCUCUAAAGCUGGGGAAAUUGUUUCAAAAAAGAGAAAUCGCCUGAAGCCAUUUACUGUGGAGAAACAUUUAUUUUUUCACAAGCACACCUAGUUUACAGCAAGCACAAUUAAAAAUAUACCGUAAUAUAUUACAUUACAUUAUUAUGUCAUAUUGCUUACUAGACUCUGUACUGUCUAGUGUGUAAUUGGGGAUUUGUAACUAUAAAUCCAACCAGCAGAUGUCAUCCACAUGCUCAAUGAAUGAAGCUUGGGGUAGUGAACCAAUUUUGUAAUACAAUGGUUCAAAAGGGUUCAAAGCUUCACGAGGCCUCAUGUGGCCAUCACUACAAGUUUAUAUUAGACCAAUGAGUAGUCAACCUCCAUGAAUAAACUUAAAUGUUCCGCACACCAUGAUGCUUCCGUCGGGCUCUCUGAUCGAUCCACACACUAACUUGCGCCACUAGUCCCACUCCUGACACAACGAAUUUUACUCCGAUUGUCUCCUGAGUUUGAACAACCAAAAGGCAACACAGGAAUUGAAUAACUGACAGGUAACAGGUUAGGUUACACACUUAAGAUCCCUUUUCCUCCCAGAACACAGAUAUUUUAUAAAUGUAAUGAACUUAAAAACCUAUAUUUAUAUAUUUAUCUUUCAAAUGUAAAUAGUCUUAUAUAUUAAACUGUAUAUCAUAUUUACACAUUAUAUCUGACAUAUUUUAACCAUUUUUAUAUUCUAAACAUUCCUUCUUUUUUUUUUUUUGAUCAUGAAAUGCAACAUUUUAUUGUGGUUUGAAACUUAAUUUUAGGCACUGUAACCUAAAUGAUUUUUAUACAGGGCUAUGAACAAGGAUACAAGGAUAUGAAAUGUUUUGUAUAAACAGAAAAAGCAAACACGGUGGUGGUGUAGCACUGUUUGUGGAUAAGAAUUGCAAUUACAACGUGGUGAAUAAUGUUUUUAAAUGCAUUACACUAGAAAUAUAUAAAGACAAAAAAUCUCAGUUGCUUUUAUAGAUCACCUGUCUGACAUAUGUCUUCAGACUGGACGUGUGAUGACAAGUUGUUAUUCCUUCUAUCCACUAGGUGGCAGCUUAGACCUGUGGUGUACCAAUGUGCUACAGUUACAGUUUUUCUCAGUCGCUUUGGUACAUUUCUCAAAUCAGAAUUGAAAUUCCCAAAACUACCUGUUCAAUCUUCACAUCAUUGUGUCACUUGUGCACAUUAAAAAAGCAGUUUCUCAUUUCUUUGAACAAGUUGCAAAUGCUUUGGUACAUCCAUGCAAAUGAUUAUGUACAAUUCCCUUCUGUUUCCUACAUUAUCAAUUGCUUAUGUCAUGCUGAUCAGAAUGUAUUAUAAUGGGUCUCUGUUGAAUAGUCUCAACCCCACAACAUUUAGGCAUUAGUUCAUAGCAUAAGUCUUUACAUGCAAAAUGGUUGAACACGUUGUCAUAAUAUGUCAAGCAUAUUUCUAUACAUUUCCAAUAUACUUCUUUUCUAAAUCUGUCCUGAAUUGGUAAAUUGCUCCCAGGUGAAUUUUGACUUUCUCUAACGAAUCAAUCAACUGGCAAGUACUGUAUAGCCGGAGCACAACACAAUGUUACAAUUUCUGACAAUGGAAAGACAAAGAAUUGUACGGGGGUCAACAGCCAGAGAGAAGAAAAAGAGGAAGAGGAAGAGGAGGGAGGCUGCGUGGCGGAGGAGUUGGGAGGCAAAACCGAGGAAGAGGCAGAAGACAUGUGCGUUCCUGAUGAGAUAAGAGUCACACUUGUAGACCAUGUUUUCAAUCAUGGGCUUACAAUGGCUGAGGCUGGUCAAAAGCCAAAUGUGCAGUUAUAGGUAUGUAAUCUAACAAUAGGCACUGUACUGUAAUACUGUAUACUUUCUGUAAUGCUUCAUACAAUAUUACAGUAUUCCACUUGCAUUUUACAAUAUAAAGUAAGCAUACUUUACUUAAA